This is a long non-coding RNA of Prionailurus viverrinus (fishing cat), 1421 nucleotides long. RefSeq lists it as uncharacterized. The record is from RefSeq and is a predicted model, not a curated record. The transcript has 3 exons. Lineage: Eukaryota; Metazoa; Chordata; Mammalia; Carnivora; Felidae.
AAAAGGAAGGCGCAAGGCGGAAAGGGGGUCGGGGGCAUGGUCAAGGGCACGGAGAGCCUGUAGCCUGGGCGCACAGACUGUCGCCACAGUGAGUGCCUGCGACCCCGAAGUGGCACGUGCGGACACCGGACCGAGACUGUAGCCACGCCCACUUCAUGAAGCCGGACCUGCGCAGCCCCCAUCCGGUCCUCCAGGAACGGGAUUACGAGACCCAGUGCGGUAACCGCUGGCACACGCGUGCUGCCGCAGCCCCGGCCAACCCCCCCCCCAGCUCCCAGUAUUGUCUUCCGGUUGCUAGACGACGCCGCUUUCCAGUACAUUAUUCGGAAUACAAAAACUAAAAUCAGGGGAUGUGUCACACGGCACCUUCGCAUCUCCUAACGGCGGGGCCCACGGCUGCUGACGCAGACGGAAGAGAAACUCGGAGGAGAUACCGUCCCAGAUGUAAAGGGGUGAACUCUCUCUUCCUCUGACCUCGACAGAAGUCCGAGGAGGAAGACUCAACUCUCUCUUAUCUACAGGGUGUUCCAAAGAACCUCGCUCUUCUCUCUUAAUGGCUUGAUACACAUUUUCACACCUCGAAGUCGGUUCCCGCUACAUCCAGGUCACUGGAUCCGAAUUUUCCGGAGCCAAGGUCGAAACACCACAACUUACUACUACGGAUGGCGAGAGUCAAAAGUGUAACGUCCUCGUGUCCGACUCCACCGGGACCGUACAGGAAUCGGGACAGAAUCGAAUUUGCCCAUGUCCAAUGCCUUAUCUACGUGGCAACAUUCGUGAGAACCCAUUAAUAUCUGAUAAUGAGGAGGAGUGGGGGAGAGGAUGCGGAAGGUUCCCCUGAGCACAGUCACCACCUCAGGUGGGGUCAGCUGCUCAGGGAGACAGAUGCAGACUGUCACCCUGACUGACGCGUUGGCUUUCCCAGCCCCCUCCACCACCCCCCCCCCCCCAGCCUUGCCCAUCUCCACUGAUUCUGCCUUGGCCCAGUCCUACCGAUGCACGCAUCGGGGGGUGUCUUUCGGAGGCCGUCCGGAAAGGCUUUGCUUUUCUUCCGAAAAAGACUGGCAAUGCCCCUCGCCUUUUUCCUUCCUCCACCUGGUUCUGUGAGGUGAACAGCCACCUCUGUAAAGCCUCUAGUACCCUAGCGCACAAAGGCUCUCUCGCUGCCAGCCUUCCCUUCCCCGGGGGUCACAGUGGCAAUCGAAGAACACUGGAAACGCUUGGAACAUAAUUAAGCCAAAGAAGACAGACUGUAUUAUUACAACUAACUGCUGGCCCACUACCCUCAGCUACUCCAAAGGGAACAGGAUGUUAAGAAAUGAUUCUGUCUCUGGAGCGCCUGGGCGGCUCAGUCGGUUAAGCGUCCAACUCUUGAUUUCGGCUCAGGUCGUGGUCUCCCAAUUCGUGAGUUCGAGCGCCAU